GAUGAACGCUGGCGGCGUGCCUAAUACAUGCAAGUCGAGCGAACGGACGAGAAGCUUGCUUCUCUGAUGUUAGCGGCGGACGGGUGAGUAACACGUGGAUAACCUACCUAUAAGACUGGGAUAACUUCGGGAAACCGGAGCUAAUACCGGAUAAUAUUUUGAACCGCAUGGUUCAAAAGUGAAAGACGGUCUUGCUGUCACUUAUAGAUGGAUCCGCGCUGCAUUAGCUAGUUGGUAAGGCAACGGCUUACCAAGGCAACGAUGCAUAGCCGACCUGAGAGGGUGAUCGGCCACACUGGAACUGAGACACGGUCCAGACUCCUACGGGAGGCAGCAGUAGGGAAUCUUCCGCAAUGGGCGAAAGCCUGACGGAGCAACGCCGCGUGAGUGAUGAAGGUCUUCGGAUCGUAAAACUCUGUUAUCAGGGAAGAACAUAUGUGUAAGUAACUGUGCACAUCUUGACGGUACCUAAUCAGAAAGCCACGGCUAACUACGUG
This 497-nucleotide ribosomal RNA is filed under the name uncultured bacterium. RNAcentral's name for it is "partial 16S ribosomal RNA". It matches the Rfam family "Bacterial small subunit ribosomal RNA", at positions 28 to 507 of the family's 1533-position model. The record is from RNAcentral.